GUGCUUGCUUUGGCAGCAUAUAUACUAAAAUUGGAACAAUACAGAGAAGAUUACCAUG
RNAcentral lists this small nuclear RNA (58 nucleotides) under Pongo abelii (Sumatran orangutan). The record is from RNAcentral. Lineage: Eukaryota; Metazoa; Chordata; Mammalia; Primates; Hominidae.